AGUGAACGCUGGCGGUAGGCCUAACACAUGCAAGUCGAACGGCAGCACAGUAAGAGCUUGCUCUUACGGGUGGCGAGUGGCGGACGGGUGAGGAAUACAUCGGAAUCUACUUUUUCGUGGGGGAUAACGUAGGGAAACUUACGCUAAUACCUCAUACGACCUACGGGUGAAAGCAGGGGAUCUUCGGACCUUGCGCGAUUGAAUGAGCCGAUGUCGGAUUAGCUAGUUGGCGGGGUAAAGGCCCACCAAGGCGACGAUCCGUAGCUGGUCUGAGAGGAUGAUCAGCCACACUGGAACUGAGACACGGUCCAGACUCCUACGGGAGGCAGCAGUGGGGAAUAUUGGACAAUGGGCGCAAGCCUGAUCCAGCCAUACCGCGUGGGUGAAGAAGGCCUUCGGGUUGUAAAGCCCUUUUGUUGGGAAAGAAAAGCAGCAGGUUAAUACCACGCUGUUCUGACGGUACCCAAAGAAUAAGCACCGGCUAACUUCGUG
This 492-nucleotide ribosomal RNA is filed under the name uncultured bacterium. Its description in RNAcentral is "partial 16S ribosomal RNA". It matches the Rfam family "Bacterial small subunit ribosomal RNA", at positions 29 to 507 of the family's 1533-position model. The record is from RNAcentral.